This 261-nucleotide ribosomal RNA is filed under the name uncultured archaeon. Its description in RNAcentral is "partial 16S ribosomal RNA". It matches the Rfam family "Archaeal small subunit ribosomal RNA", at positions 748 to 1009 of the family's 1478-position model. The record is from RNAcentral.
UAGCCGUAAACGAUACUCGCUAGGUGUCGGCCACGGUGCGACCGUUGUCGGUGCCGUAGGGAAGCCGUGAAGCGAGCCACCUGGGAAGUACGGCCGCAAGGCUGAAACUUAAAGGAAUUGGCGGGGGAGCACCACAACGGGUGGAGCUUGCGGUUUAAUUGGAUUCAACGCCGGAAAUCUUACCGGGACCGACAGCAACAUGAAGGCCAAGCUGAAGACUUUGCCGGAUUAGCUGAGAGGAGGUGCAUGGCGUAGUCGUGU